Molecule: long non-coding RNA, 547 nt
Filed under: Homo sapiens (human)
Lineage: Eukaryota; Metazoa; Chordata; Mammalia; Primates; Hominidae
Description: HSALNT0209786
Source: RNAcentral
CCAGAGCAGAACACCCCCCAGGCAACACGUCUGAUGAAGGCCAACAGCGUCAGUCCUCUGGUGUUUGGUGACAUCAAAGCUGUGCCGAAAGGCCUUCCCUCACUGCUAACACUUGAAGGGCUUCUGUCCGGUGUGGACCCUCUGAUGGCGAAUGUGGUCUGUCUUAUGCUUAAAGAUCCACCUCCAUUAACUGCACUCUUAGGGUUUCUUCCUCUGAAAAGGAAUGAACACGGGAACCCCCUCAAAGGCAUUUUUAAAUGAAGCGUGGAAGGCAUCAAAGAUGUGCUCUUCUUCAGGACUCAGGCUUCUCCAUCAUUCUCUGUUCCUUGGAAGCGUGAGGGCUAAGGAGCUGCUGACUUCUCUCUCUUGGCCCCACUUCAAGAAAGGCUUGCUUCCCACACACCUCUCCACGCUCCCAGUGCGGGACUGACACUCUGCACCGGGAGGCCAAGGGCCACCAUCGUCUUGCUGGGAGAAGGUGUGACGUUUCUUGGUCAUAGGAGGGAGUGUGAUCUGACACCAGAGGACUUAAUAUAACAUUGCAGUG